GAACAUCUCAGAGAAUCAGCUUAAUUAUGGCACCGAUGUGAGACUAACACUCUUUGGAUUUGUUCCUUCUCAGGGUGGCUGUUACAGUCUUGUAAGCAUCAUCAGUCAUUAUGGAGGCACAGAGUCAGGUAAAACAACAGACUUGUUACAAACAGAAAAUGAAAACUUGCUACUUUUCAAUGAAGGACUCACACACAAAAGCUUUUGAUGUUCUAAGAAGCACUAAGUCAAAAUCACUGUUUGCUUGAAUCAGCUGACUUCCAGAAGUUGGAUUCAUUUGUCUUAAUGUAAUUUCAGGACACUACAUCUGUAAUUCUGUCCAUCCUGAGGAGAGUCAGCACUCUACAUCAGAUCGCUGGCUCACCUAUAAUGACGCACAGGUGCUCCACACAACUAGAUCUGCAGUUUGUGAGGAACAGCAGCACUCGGCCUACAUGCUGUUUUACAAGAGAAACUUCUAAAACAGGAUACGGAAGGAAGUUAAGGUCAUCAUCACGCUGAGAAGGAAAAGCAGUCGUCCCAGUCCACCAUCGCUGACUGGAGGACAAAUAUUAGAACCGACCUGAGUGAGCGUGUGGACAACAGGUAUGGGAAACCCUUCAAAAGCGGACAGAGCAGUUGGGGAGCCAAGGCAAUAGAAAAAUAUAAAAGAUUUGUUUUAUGUAAAUAAUUUCAGAAAAAGACAAAAACAGUUAAAACACACCUUCCAGGGAGAACAUAAAGUUAAAAGCAUAAAAACAAUACAGCCAAAAAGUCCAAUGGCCUCAGCCACAAAAUUAAAAUCCGUCCUCGCCUGUCCUUUCUGCCUGUCUGGUGCCAACUAAAGGAGAGAGGAGCAGUGGCAGUCACUAUUCUUUUAUUUCACCGGAGUUUCUUCUUAAAAUGAAAUUGAUCAGGAUUUACCCCGGAUAGGCAGAGCUCUUAACUCUGCCUGCUGCUUUGCUGUGUUUUUUAACAUGCGCAUUAGUGAUCAGGAGGGGGGCGGUGAAAGGAGAGGCAUGUCAAGAAAUAUUUACAAUAAAAGCAUAGCACAACUUGGAGGCCUCACACUAACGCAGGCUAGCAGAAGAUCUGGCAAGGACUCAUUGAGAGCGCUGGUCUUUUAUGCAGGUAGUCCAAAGUGCAAACAGGUGCAGACCGUUAAGGGUUUAGGGGUGGAAGCUCCAGCUCUAUAGAAAAAUACAUCUACUCACCCAGACCAUGACAUUGUUAACCAAUUAGUAAACAUUAAUUUUAAAUCCACUUUAAUCCUGAAUGAUAAGACUUCAUCAAUCAUCAUAUCACAACACUUUGCUCUGAGACUGUGAGGUAGAGCCCUCAGCUAUCAGGCCCCUUUGCUAUAAAGUCAGCUCCCCGUUUGAAUUCACAAAACAGGCCUCUAUUUUCAAGAUAAUGCUGGAAAUUUUUGUUUUUUGUUAUAAAGAUCAUAGUUCGGGCUGGAUCAGUUGACCCUGAAUUGACUGUAAGUUAAUUAUCUCUUAGACAAGUUUGAAAAUGUAUCUCUGUAGACUCACCAGAGGGUUACAGUUCCUGGUACCAUUGAUACUACUACACUACUACUAGCCACCACUUUGUGGGUGGGAAUUCUGGAAGUACUCAAAUAUCUGAAUCCGUUAGUUUAACCCUUGUAAUGUCUUCCAAAUGACCAUACUCUUUUUGUAAUAUGUAAAAGUUAAGAUGGCAUGUUAGUUUUAAAGCACUUAAUUUUUUUUAUUUAUUUUUUUCAAAUCAAUGGGUUGAUUUUUGCAGAUGUAUGGAUUGCAUUUUUGGCCCAUUUUUGAUGUUUUGAAAUCAGUCUUACAAGGGCAGAAUUUGCACCUCCUUGGGUGAUGGGAAAGUAGGGACAGCUGGUUGAGGAAGAACUGCGGCAGAGGUAGAGCUGGAGCAGAAGUGCUGGUUCUCCAUAACCAGUCUGCCAGCUGCUGGUGUCAAACGUUAUAACGAAUCGUAGUGCAAUUACACAGCAGGUUUGUCAGUGUAUACUUGCAUAUUCCAUGCAUAACUAGACCUGGCAUCGCAUGCUGCCCAUAUUUUUAUUCCAUAUUUCCCUGGUUUGCUUGGGAUGUGCUGUUUGAAUGGACAGCGACAAUGGACAGCUGUUUGAAUGACACUAGGUGCUCAUCCACAGUCACAUCAGUGACUGAAUUGUACAUCAUUGGCAGAAGAGACACCUACUUAUCCCAUACAUCUCGUAUGGGAGCAACAUUGCCUUGUGCAUGACAAUCUUCUCUUGUGUCUUUAUCAUUGAAUCAAAUCACUCUUUAGAUUUUAUGAAACAUCUUGAGUGUCAUGCUAGCACGGAAAAUUGUCCUACCAGACUCAGCAUGCCAUAAAUUAGCCGUAGCUUCUUUACUGGAGUGGUACACACCAGCGAAAAUCUGCAUACCCACAUAUGCCUGCAGGUCGAUUCAAUCCAUCUUUCUCCACUUGAUGCCAUACACGUCGGCCCUCCUUGUUUGUCAUGUUCAGCACCACCUCUUCAAUAAACUUGGGAAAAAGUGGAAUUUAUGUCAUCAAUACGAGACCUUGCAUAUGCGGUUGGACCAUGGUGGCUUUUGUCUCUCUUUAUUGUCAACUUGCUUAAUCUGUCGCUGGGAGGAACUAAAGACCAGAUCAAUUUUUCAUCCUUUGACUGGAUAUUUAUAUAUUUGACUGGAUAUAUUCUUCUGUCUCAGCUGGGUCCUCUUCCACAUAUUCUUCCUCUUCAUCAGAAGUGUAGCACAAAUGGUACCUUAAAAAGCAGGUACCAAGCAAGGAUGAUCUGUCAUAUAUGCAUCACAGUGUUUACAAUACAGUCUUUGUGUAGUUGUAGUUGUUUGUAGAUAUGAUCUGUUUGUUAAUCAGCAUUUCGACUGAUGGAUUCAAUGAGACGAGUCAAUCCAGAAGGGGUCAUGAUGCGAAGGUUAUCUAUUCAGACUGCAAGCCGUUGUCAGUACAUUUCUUUUUAUAUUUCUGCCUUGUCAGAAGGAGAUUUGUUGUCCAUGGUGGGAUAGAUGGUUCUUCUAGGUUAAUUGUCUACCUUAAAGCUGCCACCAACAACAAAGCUACAACCGUUUUUGAUGGUUUUUUGUCAGCAAUCAGACUAUAUGUCAUACCAUCACGAGUCCGGUAAGAGGCAUUUAACAAAUACAGUAUGCCAAAAAAUUCUGCAUCGGACAGUAGUUAUAUUCAGAUUGUUACUCUCACUGACUCAGAUCAAAACUUUUCUACUUUUUUUCGAGGUCAGACAAGGGGUGGGCAUUUCAUGAUGCAGACAAUGGGGGAGAACAGGAACUCUCACAAUCAGAAGUGUUCACAGCCAGCGGUAAGGACAAGUAAAUUAAUGGCCUGUCUUACAUUGUUUCAAACAUGCACUUGUAAUAAAACAAAUGGUUUAUGAGCAUAAUUGACUGGUUGCACAGCACAUUAAUACUACACUAAUAAUUGACUCUUUAUUGAGACUUUGUUUGCUAAAGUGCAGCAGUGAGUGUGGAGUGAAAAACAAGGACAAAUGAAAACAGUGGGGCAGAUAAAGUUUGGGUGACAGGGUUAGGUUUCUCUUAAAAAACUUUGACUACUAUAGGUGAUGAACAGCAGGAAGAGAAUAUCGCGCAUUAUAUCAGUACACCGUCUGUGUUUUCUUUUUAAAAAGAAGUGAGAUAACAUUAAGUAACAUGGACAGGGUAAGUCUUGCAUGGGUGUUUAAUUUUGUGGUGAUAAAUGUGUCUUCCAGGGGUCAACAAAAACACACACAUUACU
Molecule: long non-coding RNA, 3738 nt
Organism: Haplochromis burtoni (Burton's mouthbrooder)
Lineage: Eukaryota; Metazoa; Chordata; Actinopteri; Cichliformes; Cichlidae
Exons: 3
Source: RefSeq, a predicted model, not a curated record